RNAcentral lists this ribosomal RNA (515 nucleotides) under uncultured cyanobacterium. Its description in RNAcentral is "bacterial SSU rRNA". It matches the Rfam family "Bacterial small subunit ribosomal RNA", at positions 65 to 626 of the family's 1533-position model. The record is from RNAcentral. Lineage: Bacteria; Bacillati; Cyanobacteriota.
AACGGAGUAGCAUACUUAGUGGCGGACGGGUGAGUAACGCGUGAGAUCUACCUUCAGGACGGAGACAACAGUUGGAAACGACUGCUAACCCCCGAUGUACCGAAAGGGCAAAUAUUUAUAGCCUGAAGAAGAGCUCGCGUCCGAUUAGCUAGUUGGAGAGGUAAAAGCUCACCAAGGCGACGAUCGGUAGCUGGUCUGAGAGGACGAUCAGCCACACUGGGACUGAGACACGGCCCAGGCUCCUACGGGAGGCAGCAGUGGGGAAUUUUCCGCAAUGGGCGAAAGCCUGACGGAGCAAGACCGCGUGGGGGAAGAAGGCUCUUGGGUUGUAAACCCCUUUUCUCUGGGAAGAACGCAAUGACGGUACCAGAGGAAUCAGCAUCGGCUAACUCCGUGCCAGCAGCCGCGGUAAGACGGAGGAUGCAAGCGUUAUCCGGAAUGAUUGAGCGUAAAGCGUCCGCAGGUGGCAGUUCAAGUCUGCUGUCAAAGACCGGGGCUCAACCUCGGAAAGGCAG